GACGAACCGUGCGAACGUUGUUCGGAAUCACUGGGCUUAAAGGGCGCGUAGGCGGGCCUCCAAGUCAGGGGUGAAAUCUUUCGGCUUAACCGGAAAAGUGCCUCUGAUACUGGGGGUCUUGAGGUGGGUAGGGGCCUGCGGAACUUCCGGUGGAGCGGUGAAAUGCGUAGAUAUCGGAAGGAACGCCGGUGGCGAAAGCGGCAGGCUGGACCCUUUCUGACGCUGAGGCGCGAAAGCCAGGGGAGCAAACGGG
Molecule: ribosomal RNA, 253 nt
Filed under: uncultured bacterium
Lineage: Bacteria
Description: partial 16S ribosomal RNA
Rfam family: Bacterial small subunit ribosomal RNA
Source: RNAcentral